CCUUGUGAAUAGAAGAUUGAUGUUCCCAUUUUAGAGAUGAGAAAAGUGAGACUCAGCAUUUUCAUAACAUGUCUAACUUUCUGUAUACUCACUAUAUGACUGAGAGAACGUGUCAUCUCAUUUAAUCCUCACAACAAUCUGAUGAGAGAUGAGGUCUCGCUAUGUUGCCCAGUCUUGUCUCCAACUCCUGGCCUCAAGUGAUCCUCGACCUUCCAAAGGGAUGGAUUUACAGGCAUGAGCCACUGUGCCCAAAUUGAACCCACAUUGCUUACUUCAAAGCCUAAUGACCAAUUUCAUGAAGGAGGUCUGCUGCACUCACAAGCCAGGUUAUGUCAGCUGGACUAUGUGGUGCCUUUUGUACCUGUCUGCAUCCUGCCAUCUGUUUGCCAUCUGCAGAGGGCUCAACUUGCAGUCCCAAAGGAAAGCACUUCUCUCUCCUGCUGCCAUGUGAAGAAGGAUGUGUUUGCUUCACCUUCCACCAUGAUUGCGAGUUUCCUGAGGCCUCCUCAGCCACACGGAAAUGAAAUACACAGCAAUGUAAGCAGAGAGAUGAAAGAAGGUGAUAACAGUUGAAGAGACAAAGAG
Molecule: long non-coding RNA, 585 nt
Filed under: Papio anubis (olive baboon)
Lineage: Eukaryota; Metazoa; Chordata; Mammalia; Primates; Cercopithecidae
Description: lncRNA (ENSPANG00000037178.1)
Source: RNAcentral